UUUGGACUAUGCUAAGUGUAAUAUAUGGUGACUUACUAGGAUAUGGUUAACACUCUUAAGCAUAAUAGUUAUGUUGUGUGUUUAUUAGAAAUAUGUGUAGUUAAUGGGCCUGAUCAUCAUGGGGAUUAGGUUUUAUCUUGAGGUAUAUCUUUAUUUUUGCUAAUUAAGACAUGUCUUAUCAUUUGGAGUUUACCAUGAUUUUUAUUCGAAUCCUGAGGAAUUACCCAAGUGCCUAGUUAU
RNAcentral lists this long non-coding RNA (240 nucleotides) under Capsicum annuum. Its description in RNAcentral is "long non-coding RNA (CANN_LNC011595)". Lineage: Eukaryota; Viridiplantae; Streptophyta; Magnoliopsida; Solanales; Solanaceae. The record is from RNAcentral.